AAAGAGUAAGUGACUAUUUGUGUAUCUAAGUACUGUGAAGGAAAUAAAUAUGAAACUGAAUUAUGGGCUAUAACAAGCACCUAAAACUGCAUUUUGUUGUUUACAAAAUAAUGAAUUUUAUUGCGCCUUCUGUGCCAACAUGAGUACGAGCGCAUUUGAUGUUGUUUCAGUGGAUUUAUAUGCACUACUCCCCAAUACCUGCGUUUUAUAUAAAAAAAAAUAUUAUA
RNAcentral lists this ribosomal RNA (227 nucleotides) under Gonium pectorale. RNAcentral's name for it is "large subunit ribosomal RNA fragment L1". The record is from RNAcentral. Lineage: Eukaryota; Viridiplantae; Chlorophyta; Chlorophyceae; Chlamydomonadales; Volvocaceae.